GGAGAGGCAAGCAGCGUUUCUUCUCCCCCCUUUAGCCUCCCCGUCUCCCUGCUCCCUGUCACUCCAUCCUUCCUCCCCUCUCCUGGACCACCCUCCAGCCCUGCUUCAAGCCAGACCGAGACCCCCCUUACCACCCAGACCACCCCGGGACCCUUUGACUCUCCUCACUUCUCCGUCCCGCCAACCUAAACAACUGAGCAGGAUUCCAUCUCCUCUCCUCCCCUGGAGUGCUGUCUGUCUGUCAACAACUCCACUGCACAAUAUCUGCUGA
This 271-nucleotide long non-coding RNA is filed under the name Sparus aurata (gilthead seabream). RNAcentral describes it as "lncRNA (ENSSAUG00010014077.1)". The record is from RNAcentral. Lineage: Eukaryota; Metazoa; Chordata; Actinopteri; Spariformes; Sparidae.